AUGUUAUAAUAUUUAUUUUCCUUUUCUAUAAGGUCUUGUUUGGAUAGAUAGUUAAAAAACUCCAUAAAAUUUUUAUUCUAUGGUUUUGGUCUAAAUAAAAUAUAGAAUCGUGUAACUACAAAAAAAUUCCACAGCUUCAUUUUUAAGUUGGUUGGAUACAUAUCAUAUAAUUCCACAGUAUUUAUAACAAUUAAAUUUCUAAAAUUUUAAAAUUCAAAAUUGAAAAUUCAAAAUUCAAAAUUUAAAAAUAAAAUUUUAAAAAUUAUAAUUCAAAAUUCAAAAUAUAAAAUUAAAAUUUAAAAUUUAAAAUUAAAAAAUUAAAUUAGAUUUUAUGUUUUAAAUUUGAAAUUUGGAAUUUGGAAUUUGAAAUUUAAAAUUUGAAAUUUGAAACUUUAAAUUUUGAAAUUUAAAGUAUACCAUUUAAACNGAAAUUUUAACUUUUUGAAAUUUGAAUUUGAAAUUUGAAAUUUGAAAUUUAAAAUUUGAAAUUUGAAAUUUGAAAGUUGAAAUUUGAAAUUUGAAGUUUGAAAUUUGAAAUUUGAAAUUUGAAAUUUUUGAAAUUUGAAAUUUAAAAUUUGAAAAUUGAAAAUUGAAAUUAAUUGAAAUUUAAAAUUUGAAAUUUGAAAUUUGAACUUUUUGAAAUUUGAAAUUUGAAAUUCAAAAUUCAAAAUUUGAAAUUUGAAAUUUGAAAUUUGAAUGUUGAAAUUUGGAAUCUGAAAUUUGAAAUUUGAAAUUUGAACUUUUUGAAAUUUGAAAUUUAAAAUCAAAAUUAAAAUUGAAUUUUAAAAUUUUAAAUUUUGAAAUUUAAAAUUUUAUGUUGAAAUUUAAAAUUUAGAAAUUGAUACAUCUUUGGGAGCCCAAAAUGGUGGAAUUUUUUUUCUUUGAUUAAAGUGAAUUGUAAGUUUACUCCAUUUUUUGAAGUAUAGUAUAACUAUACUCCAAAAAUUACGCCAUUUUUUUUUUUCUUCCAAACGCUUCAUAGAAUUAUUUUCCUACCGGCGUAGUAUAGUUUAACUAUGCUACGUUUUUAGAGAUAUCCAAACGGGGCCUAACAUGAUGUUAAAGCAAUGUGAAAGAUUGAUCGGUCGUUGUUAAGCGUUUAAACUAUUAAAAAAUGAUAUUUUAAAUA
RNAcentral lists this long non-coding RNA (1129 nucleotides) under Ananas comosus (pineapple). Its description in RNAcentral is "long non-coding RNA (ACOM_LNC018583)". The record is from RNAcentral. Lineage: Eukaryota; Viridiplantae; Streptophyta; Magnoliopsida; Poales; Bromeliaceae.